GGCGAUGUCCGAAUGGGGAAACCCAGUGCAAUUCGUUGCACUAUCGUUAACUGAAUACAUAGGUUAACGAGGCGAACCGGGGGAACUGAAACAUCUAAGUACCCCGAGGAAAAGAAAUCAACCGAGAUUCCCCCAGUAGCGGCGAGCGAACGGGGAGCAGCCCAGAGUCUGAAUCAGCUUGUGUGUUAGUGGAACGGUCUGGAAAGUCCGACGGUACAGGGUGAUAGUCCCGUACACCAAAAUGCACAGGUUGUGAACUCGAAGAGUAGGGCGGGACACGUGGUAUCCUGUCUGAAUAUGGGGGGACCAUCCUCCAAGGCUAAAUACUCCUGACUGACCGAUAGUGAACCAGUACCGUGAGGGAAAGGCGAAAAGAACCCCGGCGAGGGGAGUGAAAAAGAACCUGAAACCGUGUACGUACAAGCAGUGGGAGCACCUUCGGGUGUGACUGCGUACCUUUUGUAUAAUGGGUCAGCGACUUAUAUUCUGUAGCAAGGUUAACCGUAUAGGGGAGCCGCAGGGAAACCGAGUCUUAACUGGGCGUUAAGUUGCAGGGUAUAGACCCGAAACCCGGUGAUCUAGCCAUGGGCAGGUUGAAGGUUGGGUAACACUAACUGGAGGACCGAACCGACUAAUGUUGAAAAAUUAGCGGAUGACUUGUGGCUGGGGGUGAAAGGCCAAUCAAACCGGGAGAUAGCUGGUUCUCCCCGAAAGCUAUUUAGGUAGCGCCUCGUGAACUCAUCUUCGGGGGUAGAGCACUGUUUCGGCUAGGGGGUCAUCCCGACUUACCAACCCGAUGCAAACUACGAAUACCGAAGAAUGUUAUCACGGGAGACACACGGCGGGUGCUAACGUCCGUCGUGAAGAGGGAAACAACCCAGACCGCCAGCUAAGGUCCCAAAGUCAUGGUUAAGUGGGAAACGAUGUGGGAAGGCACAGACAGCCAGGAUGUUGGCUUAGAAGCAGCCAUCAUUUAAAGAAAGCGUAAUAGCUCACUGGUCGAGUCGGCCUGCGCGGAAGAUGUAACGGGGCUAAACCAUGCACCGAAGCUGCGGCAGCGACACUAUGUGUUGUUGGGUAGGGGAGCGUUCUGUAAGCCUGCGAAGGUGUGCUGUGAGGCAUGCUGGAGGUAUCAGAAGUGCGAAUGCUGACAUAAGUAACGAUAAAGCGGGUGAAAAGCCCGCUCGCCGGAAGACCAAGGGUUCCUGUCCAACGUUAAUCGGGGCAGGGUGAGUCGACCCCUAAGGCGAGGCCGAAAGGCGUAGUCGAUGGGAAACAGGUUAAUAUUCCUGUACUUGGUGUUACUGCGAAGGGGGGACGGAGAAGGCUAUGUUAGCCGGGCGACGGUUGUCCCGGUUUAAGCAUGUAGGCUGAUUGUCCAGGCAAAUCCGGAUAAUCAAGGCUGAGGUGUGAUGACGAGGCACUACGGUGCUGAAGUAACAAAUGCCCUGCUUCCAGGAAAAGCCUCUAAGCAUCAGGUAACAUCAAAUCGUACCCCAAACCGACACAGGUGGUCAGGUAGAGAAUACCAAGGCGCUUGAGAGAACUCGGGUGAAGGAACUAGGCAAAAUGGUGCCGUAACUUCGGGAGAAGGCACGCUGGUGUGUAGGUGAAGUCCCUGCGGAUGGAGCUGAGACCAGUCGAAGAUACCAGCUGGCUGCAACUGUUUAUUAAAAACACAGCACUGUGCAAACACGAAAGUGGACGUAUACGGUGUGACGCCUGCCCGGUGCCGGAAGGUUAAUUGAUGGGGUUAUCCGUAAGGAGAAGCUCUUGAUCGAAGCCCCGGUAAACGGCGGCCGUAACUAUAACGGUCCUAAGGUAGCGAAAUUCCUUGUCGGGUAAGUUCCGACCUGCACGAAUGGCGUAAUGAUGGCCAGGCUGUCUCCACCCGAGACUCAGUGAAAUUGAACUCGCUGUGAAGAUGCAGUGUACCCGCGGCAAGACGGAAAGACCCCGUGAACCUUUACUAUAGCUUGACACUGAACAUUGAGCCUUGAUGUGUAGGAUAGGUGGGAGGCUUUGAAGCGUGGACGCCAGUCUGCGUGGAGCCAACCUUGAAAUACCACCCUUUAAUGUUUGAUGUUCUAACGUUGGCCCCUGACCGGGGUUGCGGACAGUGUCUGGUGGGUAGUUUGACUGGGGCGGUCUCCUCCCAAAGCGUAACGGAGGAGCACGAAGGUUAGCUAAUCCUGGUCGGACAUCAGGAGGUUAGUGCAAUGGCAUAAGCUAGCUUGACUGCGAGCGUGACGGCGCGAGCAGGUGCGAAAGCAGGUCAUAGUGAUCCGGUGGUUCUGAAUGGAAGGGCCAUCGCUCAACGGAUAAAAGGUACUCCGGGGAUAACAGGCUGAUACCGCCCAAGAGUUCAUAUCGACGGCGGUGUUUGGCACCUCGAUGUCGGCUCAUCACAUCCUGGGGCUGAAGUAGGUCCCAAGGGUAUGGCUGUUCGCCAUUUAAAGUGGUACGCGAGCUGGGUUUAGAACGUCGUGAGACAGUUCGGUCCCUAUCUGCCGUGGGCGCUGGAGAAUUGAGGGGGGCUGCUCCUAGUACGAGAGGACCGGAGUGGACGCAUCACUGGUGUUCGGGUUGUCAUGCCAAUGGCACUGCCCGGUAGCUAAAUGCGGAAGAGAUAAGUGCUGAAAGCAUCUAAGCACGAAACUUGCCCCGAGAUGAGUUCUCCCUGAGACUUUAAGUCUCCUGAAGGAACGUUGAAGACGACGACGUUGAUAGGCCGGGUGUGUAAGCGCAGCGAUGCGUUGAGCUAACCGGUACUAAUGAACCGUGAGGCUUAACCUUACAACGCCGAAG
This 2808-nucleotide ribosomal RNA is filed under the name Klebsiella pneumoniae. RNAcentral's name for it is "partial 23S ribosomal RNA". It matches the Rfam family "Bacterial large subunit ribosomal RNA". The record is from RNAcentral. Lineage: Bacteria; Pseudomonadati; Pseudomonadota; Gammaproteobacteria; Enterobacterales; Enterobacteriaceae.